Molecule: ribosomal RNA, 301 nt
Filed under: uncultured bacterium
Lineage: Bacteria
Description: partial 16S ribosomal RNA
Rfam family: Bacterial small subunit ribosomal RNA
Source: RNAcentral
CAGCCGCCACGGUAACACGAAGGGGGCUAGCGUUGUUCGGAUCUACUGGGCGUAAAGCGCACGUAGGCGGACUUUUAAGUCAGGGGUGAAAUCCCGGGGCUCAACCCCGGAACUGCCUUUGAUACUGGAAGUCUUGAGUAUGGUAGAGGUGAGUGGAAUUCCGAGUGUAGAGGUGAAAUUCGUAGAUAUUCGGAGGAACACCAGUGGCGAAGGCGGCUCACUGGACCAUUACUGACGCUGAGGUGCGAAAGCGUGGGGAGCAAACAGGAUUAGAGACCCCGGUAGUCCCUGUCUCUUAUAC